CAUGGCUCACAUUGAAGGUACAGCAGAAGCGAAUAGAACCCCAGCUGAUGGAAAGUGGUUCUGACCUAAAAUACACAGGUUAAAUAACUAAGAAAUGUUGCCAAAUAACAGAGGCUCAGCUGUGAACACAGAACAUGCACUGGAACUGGCUUCUGAAAGGCAAGCCAGCUGGCUGCUUUAGAAAAAGUCUUGGGGAAAAAAAUAGCCUUUCUCAUCUAGUUCACAAAUGCUUUCCCCUCAGAUCUGGCUUUAUGACACAAGUCCUCUGUUAUCUCAUCACACAAGAUCACCUCAUUCUUGGGAAGCACCCCAAGACCAACAAGAUCAAAUAUUGGCAUGCCUCGCUGUACGCUCUGAGUUUUCGCACGUUCUCGCUUGCUGACUGUCCUGGUUACUCACUGAAUGCUAGACACGGCACUGUGCAGUGAGUGAGAAGUAUACCAAGUCUGAAGACUCAUCUAACCUAUGUCUAAUAGGUAUGUGUAUUGGGGUGUAUGUGUACGUAUGAUUGACAAUUGAAACUGUGGAGGUUUUUAAG
This 538-nucleotide long non-coding RNA is filed under the name Mus spicilegus (steppe mouse). RNAcentral describes it as "lncRNA (ENSMSIG00000014626.1)". Lineage: Eukaryota; Metazoa; Chordata; Mammalia; Rodentia; Muridae. The record is from RNAcentral.